Molecule: long non-coding RNA, 1539 nt
Organism: Cavia porcellus (domestic guinea pig)
Lineage: Eukaryota; Metazoa; Chordata; Mammalia; Rodentia; Caviidae
Exons: 4
Source: RefSeq, a predicted model, not a curated record
GGCCGGCACCGAGUCUGGACAAUUUGGAAGACGCCAGCAGGUAACUGGCCUCCCAGAACACCCCUGAGAACUAAAGGCCUCGGGAGGCUCGUUAUGUGUUUGUGCUUUUGUAAAGGCGACGUCCAGGCAAUAGGCUUGGGAAUGAUGCACUUUCAUCCACAAAGUUGUGGAGUUUCAAGGAGUGAGCGGGUGUGACACCGCCAGAAACCUUGAUUAGAAUCUGACCCCGCCCGGGAUACACAAAAACACCCGCGAGUGCGCGCUUCACGAGUUUGCUUUGAGAGCGCGGAAAGAACAUGUCAGCCUGCGUUCAGCUAGAGCUUUCUUUGAACAGAACAUUUCAGUACUGAAUGUCAAGCGGAGAAGGGAAGUAACUAGAACUUCUGGUCCCACCUCAGCUACCAGUGUCUGCGUCUCCUCGAAGCAGUGCAGACAGCAGCCAGGGUCCGCGCGCAGCAAUGCGGCGAGAAAGGCAAAGUGCGGGCGCCGAAGUAGUCGCCUCCGCCACACUCACGCCUCCCGGAGAGCGCGGGAAGACCGAGCCCCAGCCACAUCCCCUCCACCCCCACCAGGCGCUCUCGGGGUGUGGUGCCGGAGGGCCGUGAGGUCAGCGUUCGGAGGGGUUCCGGGAAGGCGCCAAGGGGCAGAUUCCAGCUGUCCGGCCGGCCGGAGCGCACGCGCACCUUCCUGGGUACCGCUGAUUGCAAGCCUGAGACUGCGCGGAGCUGAGCUUUGUGGCCAGGGGCGCACUAGAGGCUGCAGGGAGUUGGAAGACGCUGCAGCCCUGAGCUGGCACCGGGAGGCCAAGGGAGAGCGCAGAGUUGAGAGGACAGGGCAGUAGGCCUGGCUGUCUGCAAAAGUGGCCUUCUGCAGCAUUCCAAACUGCCAUCUACCUGGUGAUUUACGGCUGAGAAAACGGAUACUGCAGUGAGCAAGAACAGAAGGAAGCCAGCGCCGGACAGCUGCGCAGAGCCGCCGAGAAAGAGGUGAUACAAGACCUGGAAAGCGCUCUAGAGCCUUCGGGCCAGCUUUAAAGAAAAAAGCGGAGAAGCAGAAGAUAUCCCGGCUCCGGAGAGCUUGGAGCACCCAGCGGACUUGUGCAACUCCCUGGGCUCUGGACCCUCACCUGCCUUCUCCAAGAGGCCACUAGUCUGUUUUACAGCGGUGCCCCAGAGUUUUGUCCCUCUGGACUGUGACGCUCCAAGUCAGGGCCGGACUGCAUGGAAAGCCAAGUUUAUAAACAAGAAACUCUAUUCUCCAAUGUUUUCGAGGGAGCGGCUUAGGAGUCAAGCAACAAGAACAGCAACAACAAAAACGGCCAAGUUUUGCGUGCAGUUUACAAUGGUGUAACCAACCAAACUUUGAAAGGAGAACAGUUAGAAGUCACCACAAACAGGCUACUUUGUUCCGUUUUUAUAAGGUGCCUACAGUGAAAGGAAAAACUGGUUAGUGCGACUAGCUGAUCAGAGUUUUAAUGUAGUCCCCAGACGAUUUUAAAAAGUAAUUUUGUGGUCAGAAUUAAAACUUACUCAACACACA